RNAcentral lists this unclassified non-coding RNA (203 nucleotides) under Hevea brasiliensis (rubber tree). The record is from RNAcentral. Lineage: Eukaryota; Viridiplantae; Streptophyta; Magnoliopsida; Malpighiales; Euphorbiaceae.
AGUUGCCUGGAUUGGGGGUUGAAUUAUUUCCAUGGAUCACCUUCCUUCAGGUAAUGACCAUAUUUUGGUGAAAGCAUUCCUUUUAAUACCGGGGCUGAGAUCUCCAUUUUUCAUUUCCUUUCCCAACACCACCCCCUCUAUCCGCCACCCCACCCUUCUCCCAAAAAAUAAUGAUAAAGAUAUUGAUAUUGACAAUGAUAAUA